GUUCAUUCGAUUUAGAGAAUCUCAGAAAAGAUUUCAACAAGUACAAUAAGGAAAUAUCCAAACUCAAGCGUGCUGGUGAAAAUAUUAGAGACUAAGAAAUUCAUAGCCGACAAAGAGGUUAAGGCUAAAUCAAAUAAAUGCUUUAGGCCAACAAUGUCGUGAUUAGAAUGUGGGGACAGAAAAGAGUAGAACAUAAACUCAAGAAUCAUAUGGAUUUCGUUGACCUUCUCGGGAUAGUAGAUUUGAAGAAAGGUUGCAAGUUAUUCAUCUAUUCAAGUCUAUAAUUUUCAGGUUUGCAAUGUGAUUUUGUGUCAAAUGUUGCACUUUUGUUCUAGUUGUUUGCUUCCUUUACAAUUUCUUGUGUGAUUUACCGUAUCCGCUGAACUUGUGCAUGAUUUGCACAAUACCUUUCUGCUGAAUUUUGACAGUUUAAGAAUUUUUAUUUGAUUCAACACUUUGUUUGAUUCCAUCUUUCUGUUUGAUGCCAUCUUGUAAGAAAAUAGUUUUUUACAAGUGGUGAUGUGCAUGACACACUCAAAAGUGAGAGACAGUGUUGUGUCAUAUGAAA
Vicia villosa (hairy vetch) is the source of this 568-nucleotide long non-coding RNA. RefSeq lists it as uncharacterized. Lineage: Eukaryota; Viridiplantae; Streptophyta; Magnoliopsida; Fabales; Fabaceae. The record is from RefSeq and is a predicted model, not a curated record. The transcript is spliced from 3 exons.